Molecule: ribosomal RNA, 460 nt
Filed under: uncultured bacterium
Lineage: Bacteria
Description: partial 16S ribosomal RNA
Rfam family: Bacterial small subunit ribosomal RNA
Source: RNAcentral
CCUACGGGAGGCAGCAGUGAGGAAUAUUGGUCAAUGGACGAGAGUCUGAACCAGCCAAGUAGCGUGAAGGAUGACUGCCCUAUGGGUUGUAAACUUCUUUUGUAAAGGAAUAAAACGAGGCACGUAUGCCUCUUUGCAUGUACUUUAUGAAUAAGGAUCGGCUAACUCCGUGCCAGCAGCCGCGGUAAUACGGAGGAUCCGAGCGUUAUCCGGAUUUAUUGGGUUUAAGGGGAGCGUAGAUGGGUUGUUAAGUCAGUUGUGAAAGUUUGCGGCUCAACCGUAAAAUUGCAAUUGAUACUGGCAGUCUUGAGUACAGUUGAGGUAGGCGGAAUUCGUGGUGUAGCGGUGAAAUGCUUAGAUAUCACGAAGAACCCCGAUUGCGAAGGCAGCUUACUAAACUGUGACUGACAUUGAUGCUCGAAAGUGUGGGUAUCAAACAGGAUUAGAUACCCUGGUAGUC